Molecule: ribosomal RNA, 291 nt
Filed under: uncultured bacterium
Lineage: Bacteria
Description: partial 16S ribosomal RNA
Rfam family: Bacterial small subunit ribosomal RNA
Source: RNAcentral
GUGGAUUAGAUACCCUGGUAGUCCACGCCCUAAACGAUGAUGACUAGUUGUUGGAGGAGUUAAAUCCUUUAGUAACGCAGCUAACGCGUGAAGUCAUCCGCCUGGGGAGUACGGUCGCAAGAUUAAAACUCAAAGGAAUUGACGGGGGCCCGCACAAGCGGUGGAUGAUGUGGUUUAAUUCGAUGCAACGCGAAAAACCUUACCUACCCUUGACAUGCCAGGAACGCUGCAGAAAUGCAGCGGUGCCCGAAAGGGAACCUGGACACAGGUGCUGCACGGCCGUCGACAACU